UUGAAUUGAAGGUUUCUGUGAUAUUUCAAGAAAUGGGAUAGAAUCAAUGUCCUGAUGAACAACAUUUAACAAUUUUGUAAGUAAAGGUGCCAAAGAAGAG
This 100-nucleotide small RNA is filed under the name Pongo abelii (Sumatran orangutan). RNAcentral's name for it is "processed transcript". The record is from RNAcentral. Lineage: Eukaryota; Metazoa; Chordata; Mammalia; Primates; Hominidae.